Hyaena hyaena (striped hyena) is the source of this 812-nucleotide long non-coding RNA. RefSeq lists it as uncharacterized. Lineage: Eukaryota; Metazoa; Chordata; Mammalia; Carnivora; Hyaenidae. The record is from RefSeq and is a predicted model, not a curated record. The transcript has 3 exons.
CCGCGGCCGACCCAGGGGAACGCGCCGUUCUCGCAAACCGACUGCUGUGCGGUGGGUCCUGGUGCCGCGAACCAGCGAUCAAAGCAGAGUCCCUCUUAAUUGUGUGUCCGGAGCGCUUCCUGUGCAUGAGCUCAUCAGAUUUUUCCCAGGAACCCUAUCAACUCUUAUCUCCCUGAGUCAGAGAUGGGGAAACUGAGAUUCAGGGAGAUAAACGGACACACUUGGAAUCCCGUGUCCUAGAUGUCAAUUCGGAUCCGCUUGACUUCUGCUUGACUGUGCUCUAAACCAAUCAAAAGCAACUUCAGCAUCGGGACUAUAUUUGAUACACAUGUGGGUGCCCAGUGACUCUGCCCAGGCCCUGCACGUAGCCGACCCUCAAUAACUGUCUUAUUUGCAAUUGUCUAAUGAGCUGUUCAGUUCAAGCAGAAAUAAAUAAAACAUUAAAAAACAAAACAAAACAAAAAAACAAAUCUUCCUAAGACAAGAAGACUCUUUGAGACGUCAAGACCUUCUACACACCUCCAUUGAGGAGAUGCCCCUCAAUGUCCCUGACCUCAUCUGAGGGGCUGUCUUGCUACCUAAGCCUACCCAGGGUUCAGUCCAUGUGGGGCUGAAGAGGAGCAGGAAGGGGGAGUGAAGAGAGCCAAGGGAUGGACUUCAUGUCAUUUUUUUUCUUUGAGUAAAUAUCACUUUUUGAGGCAAAGGCGGGGAGGGAACAUCAGAUUUUCCUAUUAACGAAACUGUGCACAUAUGUCAGUCACCACUGCUGCGUGACAAAUAUACCCAAGAUUUAAACAGCAUAGUACAACUUU